AUCGCUUCUCAGCCUUUUGGCUAAGAUCAAGUGUAGUAUCUAUGCACCACUAAGAAAGAAAGCAAAACCAAUACAUAAACGACCACUU
RNAcentral lists this small nuclear RNA (88 nucleotides) under Catagonus wagneri (Chacoan peccary). RNAcentral describes it as "U2 spliceosomal RNA (ENSCWAG00000012456.1)". It matches the Rfam family "U2 spliceosomal RNA". From Rfam's summary of the family: U2 is a small nuclear RNA (snRNA) component of the spliceosome (involved in pre-mRNA splicing). The record is from Rfam by way of RNAcentral. Lineage: Eukaryota; Metazoa; Chordata; Mammalia; Artiodactyla; Tayassuidae.